AUGAGAUCAUUGACAUUUAGGGAGGUGGCCAUAGAAUUAUCUCUGGAGGAAUGGCAAUGCCUGGACACUGCACAGCAGAAUUUAUAUAGGAAUGUGAUGUUAGGGAACUACAGAAACCUGGUCUUCCUGAGUAUAUUGCUGUCUCUAAGCCAGACCUGAUCACCUGUCUGGAGGAAAAAAAAAAAGAAAAAAAGCCCUGGAAUAUGAAGAGACAUGAAAUGGUAGCCAAACCCCCAGUUUUAUGUUUUUCUUUUGCCCAAGACCUUUGGCCAGAGUAGGACACGGAAGUUUUUUUUCCAAAAAGUUAUACUGAGAAGAUAUGGAAAAUGUGAACAUUAGAAUUUACAGUUAAGAAAAGUUAUAAAAGUGUGGAUGAGUGUAAGGUGCACAAAAAAGGUCAUAAUGGACUUAACCAGUGUUUGACAACUAAUGAGAGCAAAAUAUUUAAAUGUGAUAAAUGUGUGAAAGUUUUUUUAUAAAUUUUCAAAUUCAAAUAGACAUAAGAUAAGACAUACUAGAAAGGAAUCUUUCAAAUGUGUGAAAAGCAUUUAUACUUGAGAAAAAAUUAACAAACAAAAAGAAUGUAAAAAAGCCAUUAAUAUCUGUUCACAUCUUACUAUCAGAGAGUUCAUA
RNAcentral lists this long non-coding RNA (633 nucleotides) under Homo sapiens (human). Its description in RNAcentral is "non-protein coding lnc-ATP23-5:1". The record is from RNAcentral. Lineage: Eukaryota; Metazoa; Chordata; Mammalia; Primates; Hominidae.